Unclassified non-coding RNA from Leptinotarsa decemlineata (Colorado potato beetle), 1248 nucleotides. Lineage: Eukaryota; Metazoa; Arthropoda; Insecta; Coleoptera; Chrysomelidae. The record is from RefSeq and is a predicted model, not a curated record.
AUUUAGUUUUGAACUUUGUGAAAUUUUUUGAGGGGGUUGGGGAACAGAAUUAUACUUUCGACAAAUUUGGUAGUACCUCAAAGACUGCCUGGACACUUCUGUUUUGAAUUUUGGCAUUGCAAUCAUAUUUUUAUAUCGAAUAUUGAAGUUACGGAUGUCCGUACGAUAUGUGAUUUUCCUAUGAAGAUUAGAAGGUUUUCUUUGUUACAAUUAUUUUAUGGAAAAAACAGAUAGCGUGAAGUAACCUUCUUUUCUCCAUGUUCAGCCAUUCAAUUUCUCGAAGCUUAUAUGGGAUCCUGUGUCGCCGACCAAUAUCAAAAAUUAACCUAAGGCACGAGUUUUGAACUUUUUGAAACUUAUUUUUGUAUUGAUUGGUUGAAUAUGGGCCAUAAAAUAGGCACGUGGUAAGAGUUUAUUUACAAAUUUUUCAAAUCUCAGAUCUACAUCCAUCAAAACACCAAGAUUUUUUGCUUCACUAACAAUAUCUAGUGGCUCAUUUCGAAUGCAGAUAUUCGCAGAGUAGUUCACUAUGGAACGGUGAAAUCUUGAACCAAAGAUCAUUACAUUUUAAUUACUAGGGUUUAUAAAUAAACAGUGGUCCGUUGCCAAUUCAACAAAUCUAUUUAUAUCUGCAUUGAUGUCACAAACAUUGUCUGCCAUUUUCGCCGGAAAGCUGUAGUAUAUUCAAGUAUCAUCAGCAUAUAAAUGCACCUGACAAGUGUGAAGAGCCUGUAGUAAGUUGGAUAUAUAUAUAGAGAACAAUAAUGGGCCGAGUAUGGAUCCUUGAGGUCAAAGCAUUCGUUGCUAUGAAUGUGCAUCUCGGCUGGGACCAGGAGAAUCAGACCCUUGCCUGACUGGAGAGGGAUAUCAACUACGAAGGGUUCACUGUAUUGGACCUUCUGUAUGUGCAGCCUACCUUUAUCAGAGUAUCAUACCUGGAGCUCCAAGUAUUAAUCACGUUACACGUGGUUGUCAGUCCAUCAGGUAUGGUUCGACCUGCGAAGAUAUAUUCAAUGAAUUGAAGUCGAAAGGUGAAAUAUUACCAGGGCAGCAUACUUGCAGCACUUGCAGUUCUGAUCUAUGCAAUACAUCCAGUAGAUUGAACUACUUGUCGACCAUGGUCUUGAUAUCGUUUUCUUUCGUCAUCAGGGUAGGUCUCAGCUGAAUUUGAAAUGUUUUUACUUAAAUUGAUAAUGUAGGUAAUUGUUUUGAGAGAGAAGGAACAAUAAAAAAAUAGAUUUGAAUAUA